GACGAACGCUGGCGGCGCGCCUAACACAUGCCAGUCGAACGAGCGAGCGAGAGCUUGCUUUCUCGAGCGAGUGGCGAACGGGUGAGUAACGCGUGAGGAACCUGCCUCAAAGAGGGGGACAACAGUUGGAAACGACUGCUAAUACCGCAUAAGCCCACGACCCGGCAUCGGGUAGAGGGAAAAGGAGCAAUCCGCUUUGAGAUGGCCUCGCGUCCGAUUAGCUAGUUGGUGAGGUAACGGCCCACCAAGGCGACGAUCGGUAGCCGGACUGGGAGGCUGAACGGCCACAUUGGGACUGAGACACGGCGCAGAAUCCUACGGGAGGCAGGAGUGGGGAAUAUUGCCAAAUGGCGGAAACCCUGAUGCAGCGACGCCGCGUGGAGGAAGAAGGUGUUCGGAUAGUAAACUCCUGUUGUUGAGGAAGAUAAUGACGGUACUCAACAAGGAAGUGACGGCUAACUACGUG
Molecule: ribosomal RNA, 466 nt
Filed under: uncultured bacterium
Lineage: Bacteria
Description: partial 16S ribosomal RNA
Rfam family: Bacterial small subunit ribosomal RNA
Source: RNAcentral